RNAcentral lists this ribosomal RNA (468 nucleotides) under uncultured bacterium. Its description in RNAcentral is "partial 16S ribosomal RNA". It matches the Rfam family "Bacterial small subunit ribosomal RNA", at positions 28 to 507 of the family's 1533-position model. The record is from RNAcentral.
GACGAACGCUGGCGGCGUGCUUAACACAUGCAAGUCGAACGGAAAGGCCCUGCUUUUGUGGGGUGCUCGAGUGGCGAACGGGUGAGUAACACGUGGGUAACCUGCCCUUGACUUUGGGAUAACUUCAGGAAACUGGGGCUAAUACCGGAUAGGAGCUCCUGCUGCAUGGUGGGGGUUGGAAAGUUUCGGCGGUUGGGGAUGGACUCGGGGCUUAUCAGCUUGUUGGUGGGGUAGUGGCAUACCAAGGCUUAGACGGGUAGCCGGCCCGAGGGGGUGACCGGACAAAUGGAAACAGAGAUACCGCCCAGACUGCUACGGGGGGCAGGAGUGGGGAAUAUUGCACAAUGGGCGGAAGUCUGACGCGGCAGCGCCGUGUGCGAUAUGACGGCCUUCGGUUUGUAAACCUCUUUCUCCUGUCACGAAGUGUUAGUGACGGUAAUGGGUAAAGAAGCACCGGCUAACUACGUG